GUGUGAAUAACUAUGUAUUUGCGAUUCAAGAAUUGCAUGGAAGAAAGGAAGAGGGGAAAAAGUACAAAGUGCCCUUUCAGUCUUUUGGUAUGCCCUCAAACUUCAGCUUCUUUACCUUCAGCUUGAGUUUUUUUUUUUGAUUGAAUAGGAGGCUGAGAAAACCUCAGCCACCUGAAGCUUUAUUAAAGGAAGAACAGAGAACCAAUGGGAUCUUAAACAUAAUUUUCCAAUCUCAGUAACAUAAC
RNAcentral lists this long non-coding RNA (245 nucleotides) under Elaeis guineensis (African oil palm). RNAcentral's name for it is "long non-coding RNA (EGUI_LNC010388)". The record is from RNAcentral. Lineage: Eukaryota; Viridiplantae; Streptophyta; Magnoliopsida; Arecales; Arecaceae.